GGGGGGGGGGGGGGGGUGGAUACACAGGUGCGCGUUCAGCCGUAGGGACAACGAAGGCACCGCCUGGGCGCGGCCGCCCCCUCCUCUCGCCCCAUCUGACCCCAACAUCCAGGAGAGGUGCCCGCAAGGGACCGCGCCCUCCUUCCCCCGGGGGCGUGGGAGCCGCGCGACCACGGCUUAGCAGGUGACUGUGCCACCUGCCCGCAGCGGGAGACCCAGGUGAGGCGCCGCCAGGUAACAGCACCUGCCCUGCCGCCCCCACCUGCUGCUGCGCUCCCCCUUCCCCCGCCGUCCCCGCCUACCUUCGUGUCGGAGCCCCCAGGCCCGCGCUGCCCGGCCGGCCGGGGCGAGCCGAGCUGCCGGCGCCCGCACUCCGGCGGCUGCGGCUCAGCGGGAAGCCCCGGCGCUGCCCGGCUCGCCGCCCCGGAGCCGCUCCAUUGUGACGCGGCGCGCGCGGCCGGCCAAUGGGCGCGCGGCGGCGCGAACCGCUGACUAAGUUCGCGCGCGGAGGAGGAGCGGAGCGCGCGGGCUGCGCAGGCUGCGCAGGCGGGAGCCGGGGACGCGCAGCGCCGCCUCCGAGCCGCCCUUACCCGGAUCGCUCCGCCACCGGGCCCGAGAGUCCACCCGGCCUUGGGACGAACCGCGGGGGCCGGUGACUCACCCUCCUGCUGCACACAAAGCGCAGCUGCCACCUCCCGGAGCCAACGCCAUGCGGCCGCCCGGAUGCACUCGCCCAGCCUGGCAUCCGCGGUGCAUGGCAGCCACACGCCUCGCCAGGAGCUGGGGCUGCAUUCCAGAAACCCAGGAGCCGGGGCUUAUGGCUGUUCCCCAGGCGCUCCACCCCAGCAGAAGACCCCUGCCUUCUCACGCUCCAGGUGCAUCAUGGCCUCAGCUCCUGCUCUCAAAUCUGAAACCUGGCACAUCAGCAUCAUCUUGGCCCUUAAAGAACAUAUUUGGUGUCUUCCUCUUGCUUAUCUGCUCUGGACAUCAUCUUAAAAUAGUGGUUCAUCUUCUCGGCUCUUCAGACAAGCUGUAGAUUAGAGAAGCCAAAAUAAAAUGAUCUAAUUUUCUGCA
This 1074-nucleotide long non-coding RNA is filed under the name Mus spicilegus (steppe mouse). RNAcentral's name for it is "lncRNA (ENSMSIG00000018195.1)". Lineage: Eukaryota; Metazoa; Chordata; Mammalia; Rodentia; Muridae. The record is from RNAcentral.